CUCCUGGCCGGCCGGCAGCGUGGAGGGCGGCUCCGGCAGAGGGAUGCGUGGAAACCUGCCUUUCAGGGCGGCCGGCGUCGGGGGAAUGAGGGAGGAGGGCAGGUCUGUUGUUGGGCUGGGAGAGAAUCUCUUGAGAACGCCCGCCGUGUUCAUCUGGACACUAGUGCGAAGAGGCGAGGUCGAGCUUGAUGUCGACUGACAGGCUCCGUGAACAUCGACGGGAGAGACGUUACAAAGCCCCUACGCCAAAUUUGUGGCGACACGCACCUUCGGGACCGAAUGGCACCACCGGCCCAAGCUGACAGGGAGGAGGAAGCUCGGGGGCCAGGGCCCUUGCUGCUGGUUUGCCGCUGCAGAACUGGUAUCUGCACUGGGAGCAGCUGAAGUGCAUGCAGCCGCCUUUCGUCAGAGCGUACUGGAACCUACAGUGAGGACAGGCUGCAGGAGGAGACCACAUUCUGGUAGCCGGCCAGGCCCUGCCUCUGGUACUCCGGAUCGUUCUCCCUCUUCCACUGCUGGAACUGCUCGCAGGACAGAUCCUGGUGUUGGGGCUCCCACUGAGACCAGAGAGG
Xiphias gladius (swordfish) is the source of this 572-nucleotide long non-coding RNA. RefSeq lists it as uncharacterized. The transcript is spliced from 5 exons. Lineage: Eukaryota; Metazoa; Chordata; Actinopteri; Istiophoriformes; Xiphiidae. The record is from RefSeq and is a predicted model, not a curated record.